GGUGUUCAUUUGAUUGUUAUGUUGAUUGUUAUUUUAUUUAUUACUUUUAUUUGAUUCAUUUGAUUUUAUUUAUUUAUAUUUUAUUAUUUUACUUUUUUAUUUUAACACUUAUUUUACUUUUUUAUUUAAAUUUUUGUUCUUUAUUUUCAUACAGUGGUACCUCGGGUUAAGUACUUAAUUCGUUCCGGAGGUCCGUUCUUAACCCGAAACUGUUAUUAACCUGAAGCACCACUUUAGCUAAUGGGGCCUCCUGCUGCCGCCGCGCCGCCGGAACACGAUUUCUGUUCUCAUCCUGAAGCAAAGUUCUUAACCUGAAGCACUAUUUCUGGGUUAGUGGAGUCUGUAACCUGAAGCGUAUGUAACCUGAGGUACUACUGUAUUUUGAUUUUACAUUUUUAUUUUGUGCACAUUUGUGCACAUUUUGUAUAUAUUUAUUUUGUGCAUAGAGUAGUUAGGGGUAAGUGUAGGGUUAGGGCGAGGGUUAGGCUUAGGCUUACGGCUGGGAUUGGGUUUGGGGUCAGAGUUAGGCUUUGGUGGGCAUUUUAAAUACUUAGCUAGUUUAAAGAGGAGGGUGGGAGUUUUUUGUGAACAAAAUGUGCAGACUGUAAGUAGCAUUCCUCUGCUUUCUCUUGGUCUCCUGGGGGCAGGGUGUGAGUCCUGGGGUCCCCUGCACAGCCUUAGCUCUCUGGAAAUUGACCUGACCAGUCUUCUCCAGAGACCUCAGCUCCUCCACACUCUUUCCCUGCCUUCCCCUUUUCUCUCCCCACGCAUCAUUUACAUUUUCUAGGACAUUCCUAGCCCACUUUCCUCCCAGGAGCUCAAGGUGGCCUUCAUGGUUCUCUCUGCCACCAAUUGUUAUCUUCACAGCAACCCUGCAAAGUAGGCUAGCCUAAGGUCCACCAGGGAGCUUCAUGGCUGAGUGGGGAUUCGAACGCUGCUCUCCCAGGUCCUCCUAGUCCAGCCCUCCAAUAGGGCAGUAAGUAUCAGAACUGCAUGGCAGAAGUAGGAAGCUUCAGGCCUUCAUUUUGUCUCUUGCAGUCUAGGCUAAAACAUGUUUCUUCAGAACUAGAUAUGACUCAAUGAGACUAAUUCAAAAGUAGUUCUUCUUCUUCUUCUUCUUCUUCUUCUUCUUCUUCUUCUUCUAUUCAUUUAUUAAAUUUAUAUACUGCCCUAUAUCUGGGGGUCUCAGAGCAGUUCACAGAAUAAAAUAAAGAUAUAAAACCACAAAAUUAAAUUAAUGAAUUAAUUAAUUAAUAAUAAUAAUAAACAACCCAAUAGCCUCUCCCCCAGCCCAAUAGGAUUGAAGAGCAAGCUUAAUACCAAAGAGCACACAUUUAAGCUCCAAUAAGGUUUCUGUCUCAUACAACACGGGUUUGUGUGUGAGAGAAAAUUAAGAGAUAUACAUAGCUGCAUGUAAAUAGUUAUGAGAAACAUUCUGUUUUCCAAGUUUUGUCACAUAGCUUUAACAGUACGUAGAUCUUGGAAAUACCAAAAGGAGGCUGGUUAUUAUUUUGCCAGUCCUUCGUAAAUACAGAGCAGUGGUUUCGGAAAGACCUUUUUCCGUCCUCCCGCCUUCCCUUGAUAGUUUAGACAUAGCAGCAUAUUCCACAGUGCAAACUUCUAAACUAUUUGAAAACGAGAGAGCUCCCAGCAAUGCUUUGACAGGGGCAAUGGAGCAAUGAAGGCUCCCCCUGCCGCCAAGAAAGGUAAGCUGCUCAAUAGAGCUACCAGCUUUUUACUUUCAGUGCUGUUGGUUAUUUUGGACGGGGGGCUGGUGGUUUGCAGGUGUAUUCUGCAAUGUAGAAUCACAGAAUCGUAGAGUUGGAAGGGACCCUGAGGAUCAUCUAGUCUAACCCCCUGCAAUGCAGGAAUAUGCAGCUGUCCCAUACGGGGAUUGAACCUGCAACCUUGGCACUAUCAGCUCCACGCUCUAACCAGCUGAGCUAUCCAGACGUGUCAGUGGGACGCAGGUGGCGCUGUGGUCUAAACCACUGAGCCUCUUGGGCUUGCUGAUCAGAAGGUCAGUGGUUCGAAUCCUCGUGACGGGGUGAGCUUCCGUUGCUCGGUCCCAGCUCCUGCCAACCUAGCAGUUCGAAGCACGCCAGUGCAAGUAGAUAAAUAGGUACCACUGUGGCGGGAAGGAAAAUGGUGUUUCCGUGCGCUCUGAUUUCCGUCACAGUGUUCCAUUGCUCGAGAAGCAUGACCUGGAAAGCUGUCUGUGGACAAACGUCGGCUCCCUCAGUCUGAAAGUGAGAUGAGCACCACAACCCCAUAGUCGCCUUGGACUGGACUUAACUCCCAAACUCAUCCUGAAGCUGUGUUUCCCAAACUUGGGUCUCCUGCUGUUGUUGGACUACAAAGCCCAUCAUCCCUAGCUAACAGGACCAACGGUCAGUGAUGAUGGGAGUUGUAGUCCAACAGAUUGAGAAGCAUUGUCCUAAAGUCUGAGCAUUUAAAAUCAGAAAGAGAAGUGGAGAAGCCACAUACAGUCCAUUUUCUUACCCAUACAAUGGAGCUUAUGUUGCAGGGUGGCGGGGAUUAAGUAUGUUGCAGUAACACAUUAGUUCCUUAGUUUAAAUUUUUUCGCUUUGAAAACUAAACAGGUCCCAUCCUUGUCCCGCCGUCAGCUGCAUCAUAAUGUGCAGGCAGAACAAUGCAUGUUCUAAAAUGCAUUUGGCCACUAGGGGGUGAAUGUGCACUAUUCUUUCUCUGCGGAUAACAAUUUUUAAAAAGAUGCACUCCUUUGGGAUUUAAUUUUGGGUACUUGCUGGAUGACGCCAUUGAAUAGGAGAGUUUUGAAGCCUUAUCUCAGUUUAGAAAACAUGUGGAUGCUGUCGCUAAUUGUCCCUAAGUGUUUCGUUUUGAAUUGGGAAGCCGCUGGUAAUCUCUGUCUUUCUAAAUAUACAGAUAAAUAAGGCAGAUGCAGUUAUUUAUUUAUUAGCACUCUAUUUGGAAUGUAGGAUGACACGAAGUGGUUUUAUCUUGUCAGCUGCUUUUUUUGUCCACGUAGCCCAGAAAUGUGUGCUCUGGCGGGCAGCACCAACACAGGGUAUGAGGCAGAGGCCUUUUGCAUCAUCUGCUACAUGAGCCUUUUAACUGGAAAUGAAAAGAACAGCACCUUCAAAGCAAGUUCUCUGUCACUGAGCAGUGGAAUGGUUUAAAAGAAAAGAAAAGAAAGAAAAUCAGGGAAAAGAGGAAGAGUAUGAAUCUACCCCAGCCCAGAGAGAGGGAGAUCUCCACUGGAGAAGCUUUACUGUGGCAUUUGAAAUCUUCUCUAACACAUACACAAAAAUAGGGUGGCCAUAUUUAAAAAAGUAAAAACCGGGAGCUUUUUCUAGACAAACCCCCAAAUUGAUGAGUUUUGGUUUUUUAAAAACAAAACACCAAAAAACCUAAGAUGCAGGACAAAGCGCUGCCUUUUGGAAAUUCCCCCCGGACAUCAAUUCCGCCUUUGAAAAUCUGGUAAUGUCCAGUGAUGUAUGGCAGCCAGACACAAAAAGGUGCAGAAGUUGUUGUGCUGUACACACUAACCUUUUGAAUCACAUUCGAGACACGUUCCUUCCCUCAAAGAAUUCUGGGCGCUGUAGUUUCUCGAGAGUUGCUGGGAAUUUAGCUCUGUGAGAGGUAAACUGCAGUGUCUACAAUUCUUUGAGGUGCUUUGGAUGUGCUUUAAAGGAAUAUUGAGUACACAGCCAGGGUAAGGCUGCAACAAUACUAUGCGCCGUUACUUGGAACAAGGUCCACUGAACUCGGUGGACUGUGCUUCUGAGUAAACAUCAUUGUUAGGACCAACACAAAGAUCCUAAUGGAGCCUAGCCUUCCAAUGACCCCAUAGGAUCCUGUGUUGGAUGUGCAAGCCGUUUUAGAUGGGAGGUUUGAAUUCAAAGUGAUUUGGGUCCCAUUGACUCUGAACUCAGCUACACAGCUGCAAAUAAAACAUUUUAAGUCUGCUGUAAAGUGCAAUAUACAAAUGUGACACUAGAUGGCAACAGUGAGCUACGGCAAAUUCAACAUAUUUUUCAAAACUUUUUUUUAAAAAGCAUUUUCACGGCCUUUUUUAUAUGUGUGUAGACCCCAAGUCAAUGGGACAAAAUUCAAUUGAAAUCCCUAUGCUGUGGAAUCAAAACCCCAAUCUGAUUGGCUAGAUUAAUCCAAUAACCCGAUCUCUGCCGCUCGAACCUUAUAAAUAACAGCAGCUGCAAAAUGCUUUCCAUCACGCCUCCCUUCACUUCCUUGGUGGGCCUUAUUUUGUAUUUUUGUUGUUGUUCUGUUCAUCCCAAGUGAGAGGAAAACCCCAUCCUGGAUCAGGGAGGCAGGACUGUGUUGGCUAAAAUCCAACGGCUGCAUAUGGUCUAUGCUCCCAGUUUGUUUUGCUGCCACACCAGACAGCUCUAGAGACCCGUAAGUUGAAUUAUGUGUCAGAUGAGGAAUGAGGGGGAAAAGCAUGGAGUGAUUUCCCUUUUCCCUGCAAGGCUGAUUCCAAGGCAUUGGCUAGCUCUUUUCAGCUGACGUGAGCUGAUGGGAGGAUUUGAGAAUCCGCCUUGCCGGCCGCAGGUGAGCAGAAGCCCCUCUUGGGCUUGUCGAGAGGCAGAGCAAGUCAUGCGGCCAAGCCGGGCAACCGAACAACCACGUCAGCAGAAACGCGAACUUGGUAACAGGUUGAUAUUGCGGUUGCUAGAAUCAAGGCUGCGAAAAGCCUGCCCAGAAUCGAAAAGCCUGCCCCACACCGGGGAGGCUGCCAAAACAAACAGAGCCUUGUGCAACGUACAACAGAGUGCCCUUGCACUUGAUCUCUUUCUUUUGCAGAAAUCAGUCUUCCUAGAAACUCCCUCAUGGACUAGAUCUCCUUCACCCUGGGACACUCUCAAAAAACAAGUUUAGUUGAAUGAGGAACUCUGCUUAGGGAAUGAAGCAUGCUUGUAAUUUUAUUUGCCCUGCUUUCCUCUGUUAAUCUUAAACUCUCUCUCUCUCUCUCUCUCUCUCUCUCUCUCUGUGUGUGUGUGUGUGUGUGUGUCUUGGGCUUUAUGCACACAUUUGCAGCGCAUUUCAAGCAUACAACCUGCUCCGAAUCCUGGGAACUGUAGUUUGCCACGCACCAAGCUACAGUUCCCGGCACCCGUAACAAGCUAUCAUUCCCAAAAUAAUUUGGUGGUGUGUGUGUGUGACAUGUUUUAAAAGUGCUCUAAAUCUGUGGUGUGUAUGCAAUCUUGUGGUGGUAAAAUCAAAAGCUUAAACGAAAGUGAGAUGGUUAUAAUUUCCGAACAUUUUCCUGUUUUAAUGGAGCUGGGUGGAGGAAUCUCAAAAUUUGAUUAAUAGAGCUAUCAUGCAAUAAGUAAGAAGAGUGAAGAUACUUUUAUGCUCAGAAUGGAACAGUAAAAGGGAAAAGGGAAAACAAUACAUAAGGUGUAACAAUACAUAACAAUACAUUGGGUAAAAAAAUACAUAAGAUGUUGUUUUUCAGAGAUUGUGGAUUUGUCUAUUUACUACAUGAACUACUGUCAGGGAACUGACAUCGGAGCUAGAGGUGGAGGGAAGGCUCUCUAAUGAUGCUGGAGAAGGGCCCAGCAGGGAGAGAGGCAGCUCAGCAGAUGGGGAAGCAAUUCAGUGCAACACCAGGAAUAAGGAGGGGCAGAUGGGGGAAUCGGCGAGAGGGCUCCAGGACUCUUCACCGGACACCAGCGGGGAGAGCACUGGUCCUCCGCUACCCAUGCCCUCCCUGCGCAGAAGACUUCCGCGCAGAGAAAGUAGGAGGAGACUGGGUGUCAAACAACUUUUAUGUUGGAAAAGGUUUAAGAAACGCCCACUGACGGAUUCUGCUAGCGACUGAGGCAGUCACGAAUUGAAGGGCUGGCCAGACAGAAAGGUUUAACCAGGCAACAUAGCCAGGAGAGGCGGCAACUUACGCACGAGCAACCCCAUACCAUUAUAACUACCACAUUAAUGCAAGGACUCGUGGUGAUGUACAUAGUUCCCCCUCUUUCAUUUUAUCUUCAAAACAUCCCUGUGAGGGAGAUUAGGCUGAGAAUAUCCCAAUGAGCUUUGCAUCUGAGUGAGAAUUUGAAAUCUGGCCUCUCUGGUCCGAGUCUGACACUCUUAACAGUUAGGGUUGAACCGCAAAACUGAUUCUCAAGUUCCCAAAUUAUUAUAUUAUGUAAAAUGCAUUUUAAUGGGGAGAACAGGUGAAGACAGCUGCCUAAGAGACUGGUAAGCUGUUGCCAGUCAGAGAAGGCACUACAGUGGUACCUCUGGUUACAGACUUAAUUCGUUCUGAAGGUCUGUUCUUAACCUGAAAAUGUUCUUAACCAGAAGCAUCACUUUAGCUAAUGGGGCCUCCUGCUGCUGCUGCGCCGCCGCCGCGCAAUUUCUGUUCUCAUCCUGUUCUUAACCCGAGGUACUAUUUCUGGGUUAGCGGAGUCUGUAACCUGAAGUGUAUGUAACCCGAGAUACCACUGUACUGAACUAGAUGAACUACUGACUAGUCUCAGUAUAACUUAAGGCAGUUUCAUAUCUUCUUUGGCGAUCACUCAUAGCCAAGUAAGAUUGUCUUCCAUGAACACGGUUUUAACAGUGAGUCUGUAAGUGACUGUGGAGGCCAAUUCUGGAUCAACACAUCCUUCCACAGUAGGGACAUAGGUUUCUGGGCAGGAGUUGAUCAUGGUGAGGGUUUGGCAAGCGUGCCUUCCUCUUAGCACAUUUCUCCCUUUCCUCCUGAGUUUGAGUGUCUUCAAAGUCCAUGACACCUUUGGUAAAGGCUGUUCUCCAAUUGGAGUGUUCACAGGCCAGUGUUUUUGAGUUGUCGGUGUUUAUACUACAUUUUUAAGAUUUGCCUUGAGAGAGUCUUUAAAACUCUUUUGUUGACCACCAGCAUUACGCUGUCCAUUUUUAAGUUCAGAAUAGAGUAGUUGGUUUGGAAGACGAUAAUCAGGCAUCUGAACAACAUGACUAGUCCAACGAAGUGGAUGUUGAAGAAUCAUCGCUUUUACACUGGUGAUCUUUGCUUCUUUCAGUACACUGGCAUUAGUUGGCCUGUCUUCCCAAGUGAUGUGUAAACUUUUUCGGAGACACCGUUGAUGGAAUAGAAUCUCAUAUCUAUCUAUCACUUAUCAUCUAUCUAUCUAUCUAUCUAUCUAUCUAUCAUCUAAAAUAAAUGCUAAUCCAUUUUGAGAGUUAGAAACUAGAAAUCUUUCUCACAUACAAAAGCCACAGUCCAUCACACGGUUAAGCACAAGCCAGCCCAUUAAGUUUGAUGGGUUUAAGUGCUGGAUCGUGGCCAUGAGAGAUUAACAAAAACAGCCUUGUCAGACUUUUAUCGCCAGCUUACUCUGGGAGCGUUUCCAGCUUUUCAUACGUCGACUUUGUCUCCCGAAGCUACAUCUCCUUAAGAGCAAUUUUAUCUAUAGUGGGCAAAUUACUUAAUUGCAUGCUAUUAAAAUAAGAGAUUCCAGUUUGAGUACAAAGCUCCAAGGUUCAAAGUUGUAGGUGGUUGGGUUUUUUGUGUGUGAAAGAAAUUAGGUGAAAAUCUUAUCGGCGAUCUGUAGGACAGUUUGAAGUUUCGUUUCACUCUGCCGCAUGAAAGCUCAACAGAUUCUGUGUUGUGCAACAAAGAAUCUAGGUUUCAUAUUUUCAGAACUACAAGUAACACUCGCUCUCUUAAUACUGGCUGGGAUCCAGCAUUCCCCCACUUGGAUCCCCGCAAUGCUAUAUCAAAAGCUGCUUUUAAAGUUUCCUCACCCAGAUCAUAGGCUUUGGGAAGGCAACACAAGGGCUAUGGGGUGUGUGCAAUGUUGUCAAGGGCUGCCAAAAAAAGGCCUCGAGGGCCGCAUGUGGCCCUUGGGCCACGCAUUAAACAACCCUGCUUUAUAGCAUGAAGCCAUCCCUGAAAUUUUGAUUGCGGAAGUCCUGCUCAAACGUGCGUGUUUCCCCAAUAGAAUUAACAAGGAUUCCUUAGUGCCAGGAGAGUCUGAUCUCUGAAAGUUUUGGGAGGGGGCUGUUACUGAUCUUACUGGGUCCCACCAGGAGGUUUGGCUGGCAGGAAGCUGUGCCACUCUGUGUGGGCACAUUGCUUUGAACGUCUUGAGAGCGACUCAGUGCCACGUGAGAUGAUGGCGUUGCUCCCAAAAUGUUCCAGGAAGUGCAACUGAGAGGCCUGUGAGAAGCACAGCAUUUUUAUUAAGUUAGAAAAGCAGGGAAGAAAUGAGAAACCUUUGUCUACCUUGUAAGAUUCAUAAAAGUAAAUCAUCAGCUGCCUCCUUAAGAUUUCAGAAAUAAAUUGCUCCUCACGCCCUCCUGUGGUCUUUCAGGAGAGUUUUGUUUUGUAGGGGUGCCAAGUAAAAAGCAGGACACCCCGAAAGUGUUGAGCAAAAGCUACGAGAAUUUUGAGUUCUGCAGCUGUUUUUGGCAUUUUCGUCACGAUUUAACCCCCGUUGCCGGUUUUCCGGGACAUUUGCCCGAUUUCCGAGAAAUACAGUGGUACCUCGGGUUAAGUACUUAAUUCAUUCCGGAGGUCCGUACUUAACCUGAAACUGUUCUUAACCUGAAGCACCACUUUAGCUAAUGGGGCCUCCUGCUGCUGCCGCGCCGCCGGAGCCCGAUUUCUGUUCUCAUCCUGAAGCAAAGUUCUUAACCUGAAGCACUAUUUCUGGGUUAGCGGAGUUUGUAACCUGAAGUGUAUGUAAUCCGAGGUACCACUGUAAUCCAGGAUGCUAUUUUGGGGGGAGAAUUCCAGGUCAUGUAGCAGUGGGAAGAAUGGAGUUAGGAUUUCUGAUUUCCUGCUUGGAUAACCACUUUGUUACUUGCAUAGCUCAACCCAGGUUGGAAUAAAAAGUGUUUGGACCACACAUUAAUUAACCACAAAACUGUCCAUAUAUCCUUAUUAUCAUGCAAUCAUGGUGAUUUGUGCUCAUGAUGGUAUCAGGGUGGUUAUACACAAUCCCACUUUCAAGACUGCUUCCGCUCUCAAAAGUUUUGUGCCAGAGGUAUCGUUGCCCAUUCGUCCAGAUCUGGCGCUUCUCCAGCUGAUCAUGAGAACUCUAAACCCGGGAAGACAAAUGAAUGAAUGAAAGGAAAGCAAGAGUGAUGGAGAGCUGGACUUUCCAGAUUUCCCUUAAAUCCAAGCUCAGCCAUGAAGCUUAUUGUAUGGCUGUGGGUGGGUCAGCAUCUCUUUUGGACCCAGAGGUUCUUGCGAAGAUAAUCCAGUAUCUGCCAGCCUAAGUUUGGAGGAUGGAACGGAUGCAAAUGUGAUAAAUAAGAUCGCUCCCUUUGGUUAGCAGUUCUGGGGCUCGCUUUUCAUCUGACCUGAGACAAUACUGUUGGGGCACAGAAUCUACUGCAGACCAGAUGAAAUAAUGUAAUCAUUUAAUAGCCCUUUUCCAGCCAUGACCUUUGCUCAGUGAGGCAGUAAACACUGAAACAAAAACCACAUUACCUACCUAACUAAUUGUUUUAACAAGAUAUGUUAAUGCAUUGCCCUAAGUCUGUGUAGGACAUACUUUGAGGUGAUCAAUGGGACACGGGUGGCACUGUUGUCUAAACCACCGAGCCCCUUGGGCUUGCCAAUCGGAAUGUCGGCGGUUCGAAUCCCCAUGUCGGGGUGAGCUCCCAUUGCUCUGCCCCAGCUUCUGCCAACCUAGCAAUUCGAAAGCACGCCAGUGCAAGUAGAUAAAUAGGUACCAUUGUGGCAGGAAGGUAAAUGGCGUUUCCGUGUGCUCUGUCUUCCCUCACAGUGUUCUGUUGUGCCAGGAGUGGUUUAGUCAUGCUGACCACAUGACCCGGAAAGUUAUCUGUCGACAAACGCUGGCUCACUUGGCCUGAAAGCGAGAUGAGCACCGCAACCCCAUAGUCGCCUUUGACCAGACUUAACCGUCCAGGGGUCCUUUACCUUUACCUUUUUACCUUUAAGCAGAUAUGUUAAUAAAUUCCCCAAAUGCACUGCACUAAAUCUGUGUAGGCAUAUUUUUAGGUGAUCAAUGGGGCUUACCUUUAGAAAAGUGUGUAGUACAGUGUGCCCAUUAAUUCUGCAAUUGAUUGUAGUAUAUGAAUUGGCCUGAAACCUUCUGUCUCAUUCUUACAGAAAGGGAAGCUGUUUCUCAUUCCUUUUACACCAAGCUGCACCCAGAGAUUUGUGGUCUCCCAUGCAGUCAAGCCGAGGAAUCUUUAGACUUUGGACUCUUUGGGCAAUUUAUCUGUGUUUCCUCUAUUAAGUUUGUACUUUGUAAUCAGUCUUGGGUCUCUGAUGCCUCGCAUCUGGGAAGGUAGCCUGGUGCCCCGGGGCGGCUGAACUAGAUGUUCCUUUCAAAAAGCAAAUUCAGGGACACAUUGACAAACUGGCCUGAGCCCCACCCAGACCUCUUCCAGAGUCUUAGACGGUGGCACGAGGAAGCAAUGAGCUACUAAAUUCUUAGUGAUAUAAAUAUGAGCAGUCUGAAUUGUACCAGCAUGAUCAAAGGACUAGCUCUCCAAACAUUUGGUUGAUAAUCAAUAUUUUUAGAAAAGGAGGAAUGCAGCAGCCUGCCUGCUGCUGAUGUCGAGCCCCAAUGUGUCGAUUGGAAAGUGGCAGGACUGGGAAUCUGGUGGAGCCAAGAUGUUAAAUACAGUCAGACCUUGGUUGUUCAAUGCCUUGGCUCUCCGACAUUUUGGCUUCCAAACGCCACAAACCCACAAGUGAGUGUUCCGGUUUGCGAACGUUUUUUGGAAGCCAAAUGUCUGAUGCUGCUUCUGUGGCUUCUGAUUGGCUGCAGGAAGCUCCUGCAGCCAAUCGGAAGCUGCGACUUGGUUUUUGAACCAUUCCGGAAGUUGAAUGGUCUCCUGGAACAGAUUAAGUUCGACAACCAAGGUACCACUGUACUAGAGUUUCUGAAUCCAGAUAGGUUUUUCAGACUGCCAUAUUCACCCCACUUACCUGAAAGUGAGCAGCAUCAAUUCAAUAGAAUUGACUUCUCAGUAGACAGGGUUAGGAUUACCCUCAGCAGAUUAAUUUGUGGUAAUCUAUCCAAUUCCUGGGGUAGCCAAUCCUGACCUCAGUGGAUUUGUGUCUGUCUGAAUGAAGGAAUAUCUAGUCUACAAAUCUGUAGCUGUCUUGUAUCAGUUUAGCGACAUCAAUUUCCUUCCCAAAAUUCCUGGUGUUCUCCCUUAGCUUUGUUUAGAUUUGGCCUUUGUAUAUUUGGAUAGUCCUACCUGGAAAAUGGGCUUGGCGAGGUGGGAGAUUUCAUAGAAUCAUAGCGUUGGAAGGGACCCUGAGGAUCAUCAAGUCCACCCCCUGCAAUGCAGGGAUAUGUAGCAGUGUAGGGAUAUGCAACUGUCCCAUAUGGGGCUAAAACCUGCAACCUUGAUGCUAUCAGCACCACGCUCUAACCAACGGAGCUACACUGGAAGUUGUCAUUUGGUGAGAUUGCUGAAAAUGUCGUUUGGGGGUCCCCAAUCUCCCUCUCUGAACUACAAUUCCCAGAGGUCUGAUUGCUACGUCAGUCUGUAUGUGGCACGACCUUUGCUAGGGACGCGGGUGGCGCUGUGGGCUAAACCACUGAGCCUCUUGGGCUUGCCGAUCGGAAGGUCAGCGGUUCAAAUCCCCACGACGGAGUGGGCUCCCAUUGCUCUGUCCCAGUUCCUGCAAACCUAGCAGUUCGAAAUCACACCAGUGGAAGUAGAUAAAUAGGUACCGCUGUGGCAGGAAAGUGAACGGCGUUUCUGUGUGCUCUGGUUUCCGUCACAGUGUCCCAUUGCGCCAGAAGCAGUUUAGUCAUGCUGGCCACAUGACCUGGAAAGACAAACGCCGGCUCCCUUGGCCUGAAAGGAAGAUGAGCGCCGCAACCCCAGAGUCACCUUUGACUGGACUUAACCAUCCAGGGGUCCUCUACCUUUUUAAAAAAAAACCUUUUACGACCUUUGAUGUGAUUAAACUGCUCCCUGGUUUUCUGUUAAGCUGACUUGGCUUCCAUGCUAGUUGCGUGUUACGCUCCUUGGGUAUCGAGAAUGAAAUUACUGGCUCUACAAAGCUGCCCUUUGUUACUUUUAUUUACUAAAUCGUCCCCUUGCGGGUUUUUCCAGUUUCCUCCACACCAUAUUAUUUCUUUCUGGUUUCAUUAAUACAAACACCUUUUAAUGUGCUUUUAAUUUCGUUCAUUCACUCCGUGUCUCUUGCAUUCCUCUGCCUUGACUGUCAGUGACUUAUGCAUGAAGAAGAGACUUGUUUUGCCGGGCACAAGAAUAACUGUGGCUGACAUUAGUGAGUAUCAGGAAUCAAUAUGGGAACACUUGAUCAAAUCUUGUGGAACAGGUCUGCGGAAUUAUAAGUCUAUUUUGGAGGGACAUGUUGAGGCAUUCUACAGUUUUUUCCGCAAAGUAUCUCAACCCUUUGAACCAUUUCAUCCAUUGUAGAGGAAAUUAUUAAAUCCUGGUUCUAGGGGCAUUUAAGACCUCAGGCUGGGCUCUCUCUCUCUUUCUGCCCCAAUUAUUCACACCUAGAUACAAUCUUAGACAUUACACUCAGGGCACAUCAGGAUGACCUGCUUUUUGAACAUUCAUCCUGAUUUGCUUGCAGGAAGAUUAGACGACAUUUGCUGUUUAAUUGACAUUCAUUCUGAUUUGUUUGUGGGGAGGUUCGAUGGGUCUAAAUCUUGUCUUAACACUUUUAUUCUUUCUCUUCUGUAAAGCGGAUGACAAUGCCAAUUCCAUCUCAUGUGAAAAGUGCUAUAUAAAUGAAGGAUUAUCCUGUAACCUGCCACCUCCUCCUUUCCGUAACACCUUGACUUUGACACCACCCUUGCUUGACAUUCUUUGCCGCAAAAAAAGAGAGAAAAAGUUAUUAGUUUAUUUAGAAUUUUCCCUCCCAAGAUUAGCUGGAAAUUCAGAAGAUAAUGUAGCUGAGAUGGAAUUUUUAAUUUCUGCUGAAUAAUCAUUCAGCAAAAGGCACACCCUGGAACAAAGUUGCCAUCAGAAAGACACACUCAGAGGAUGGGGACUUCCUUGCUUUUUCCUUCAUUCCAUCAAGUUUAAAGUGAGAUUGCCAAGUAAUGUAGAAUAGGCUGAAAGACACUGUUUCACCAAAGAUCACCCAGUGAGCUUUAUGAAACCCUAGUAAGCAAUAGCAAUACCCCCCCUCCCAACCCAUCCCAGAAAAACCCUUUCAGAGAAACGUUAAGACAUCAAGCUUUAGUAACUAUGAACCCCGAAAUUUGGGAUCACUUCCAAACUGGUGCUAAAGUUGUGUACUUGUUUUGUGCUGUGAACCCUGAAUCUUGUACCUUCCCAGAACCUGAGUAAUUGACACAUCAAACCAGGAUGAGAUUUUUAGGUGUUAACUACAAACCCCAGUGUGAUAAAUCAAUUGCUCAGUUUUGAGGGGCGGCACAACUAAAUGUGGAGUUUGUGCUACAAAUCAAUACAAAAUGAGUACAAAACUUUGGCACCAGUUUGGAGGGGAAUCUCAAAUUUCAGAGUUUACAGACCCUCCAAUUGUCCCUAUUUUCCAGGGACAUCCCUGGAAGCCAUCCCAGUUUCUUAUUUGAUCCCGGAAUGUCCCACUUUUCCUUAGGAUGUCCCUCUUGUCAUUGGAGAAAUGUUGGUGGCUAUGGAGUUAUCCAAUCCCCAAGCUGUCUGAAGGCAAUCCUGUAUAGGGAAGUGUUUUGGUUUUUUAAAUGUUCAAUGUUUUUCUGUGUUUUUAUAAAUCCUGGAAGCUGCCCAGAGUGGCUGGGGCAACCCAAUAAUAUUUGUGGGGUAUAAAUAGUAAAAUUACCAUUAUGGAAUGGAACGUCCCUAUCUUCAUCUGAAAAAUGUUGGAGGGUAUGAGUUCAUGGUUAAUAAAGCUGAGAGACCAGGGUUCAAAUACCCGCCAAGCUCACUGGGAUUUAAACCCUGAUCUCUGAAAGUUUUGGGAGGGGGCUGUUACUGAUCUUACUGGGUCCCACCAGGAGGUUUGGCUGGCAGGAAGCUGUGCCACUCUGUGUGGGCACAUUGCUUUGAAUGUCUUGAGAGCGACUCAGUGCCACGUGAGAUGAUGGCGAUGCUCCCAAAAUGUUCCAGGAAGUGCAACUGAGAGGCCUGUGAGCAGCACAGCAUUUUUGUUAAGUUAGAAAAGCGGGGAAGAAAUGAGAAACCUUUGUCUACCUUGUAAGAUACAUAAAGGUAAAUCGGCAGCUGCCUCCUUAAAAUUUCAGAAAGAAAUUACUCCCCACCCCCUCCUGUGGUCUUUCAGGAGAGUUUUGUUUUGUAGGGGUGCCAAGUAAAAACCAGGGCACCCCGAAAGUUGUUGAGCUUUUUAAAGACGAACCUCAAAGUUGUUGAGCUUUCUUCAGUAAAAGCUACAAGAAUUUUUGAGCUUUGGAGCUGUUUUAGGCAUUUUUGGCAAGAUUUAACCCCCAUUGCCGGUUUUCCAGGACUCUUGCCUGAUGUUCAAAAAAUAAUCCAGGAUGCCAUUUUCGGGGGAGAAUUCCAGGACAUGCCCUGGACAAUCAGGAUGUAUGGCAGCCCGAGACUGUAGCAGUGGGAAGGAAUGGAAUUAGGAUUUCUGAUCUGCUGCUCGGACAACCAAUUUGCUACAUGCAUUGCUCAAUCCAGGUUGGAAUAAAAAGUGUUUGGACCACAUGUUGAUUAGCCACAAAACUGUCCAGAUACCCUUAUUAUUGUGCAUUCAUAAUGAUUUGUGCUCAUGAUGGUAUCAGGGUGGUUUUAAGACCCCCAAAUACAGUGGUACCUCGGGUUAAGUACUUAAUUCGUUCCGGAGGUCCGUUCUUAACCUGAAACUGUUCUUAGCCUGAAGCACCACUUUAGUUAGUGGAGCCUCCUGCUGCCGCCGCACCGCCAGAGCAUGAUUUCUGUUCUCAUCCUGAAGCAAAGUUCUUAACCUGAAGCACUAUUUCUGGGUGAGCGGAGUCUGUAACCUGAAGCAUACGGUAUGUAACCUGAAGCGUAUGUAACCCGAGGUACCACUGUAGUUGAGUUUUGUUUUACAACAAAAACGCCAAAAAACCACAAUUUUUUGAUUGACUUACCAAAGAUCCAGGACAAAGUGCCACAUUCCACCUUUGAAAUCCCGGUGACGUCCGGGCAAUUCUGGACAUAGAGCAGCCCAUUGAAUGAAUGGCCAAAACAGACCGUUUCAGAGCAGUCUCUGUCCAAAGCUCUACAAUGCCUGGGCCCAGCCCGGGACCAAACGUAAAGCAAACAACAGGUUAUCGUGACAAACAGGGCGGCUUUGAUUAGCUGUCACACAGUCUUUUUAACAACACCCUGUAAAGCAAAGGGAAAGGGGGUGGGGGUAGGGCAAGCACUCCAGCAAGACAAAAGGUAUCUGGAUUCCGGUAAUUUGGUGUCUGUGCUUUACCAAAAAACAAAACACUGCGGUGGUAUUUGCUAAGCUUUGCAAUUCCAGAGAAUUGUGCAAUUAUGCAACAACCAAAGGAGGAAAUGAAUCCAGGGUAACUAAGCCUCGGAGGAGACAUGUGAGACUCCACAAGCAAGUCUUCCUUUUCACCAUGCGCCAUUAUAAUGGAAGAAAGGCUGGAUACGCAAGAGUGGAUAAAUAAAUAACCAUGAUUUAUGUCUUUAUAAUUACCCAGAGGCAUACGUCACCCUUCCCCCCACUUUUGUACUCUCACUUAUCUUCCUUCUCUCCAAAAUAAGGUGUGACAACUGCUGGUGUAACCCACAGAUAGAUGGUCAUGUCCAUACCAUGCCUUUCAAGCACAUGUCUUUCCCCCCAAAGAAUCCUGGGAAUGGAACUCUAAGGAUGCUGGGAAGUCUAGCUCUGUGAGGUGUGAACUACAGUUCCCAGGACUCUUUGGGAGGAAAGCCUCGUGCUUGAAAGGCAUGGCGCGGAUGUGACCGAACAUGAAGGAUGCUCUCGGUUUCCUAACUCCUUGGAUAUCAUUUUUGCAGCCCUUACAUAUUUUGGGAACAGCAGUCCUUGGGAUGUAGUGAAAAAUAUUAUGAUUAUCAUGGCUAAGGUAAAGGUAAAGGGACCCCUGACCAUUUGGUCCAGUCGUGACCGACUCUGGGGUUGCGGCGCUCAUCUCGCUUUAUUGGCCGAGGGAGCCAGCGUACAGCUUCCGGGUUACGUGGCCAGCAUGACUAAGCCACUUCUGGUGAACCAGAGCAGCGCACGGAAAUGCCGUUUACCUUCCCACCGGAGUGGUACCUAUUUAUCUACUUGCACUUUGACGUGCUUUGACGUGCACUUUGAACUACUAGGUUGGUAGGAGCAGGGACCGAACAAUGGGAGCUCACCCCGUUGCGGGGAUUCAAACAGCCGACCUUCUGAUAGGCAAGUCCUAGGCUCUGUGGUUUAACCUACAGCGCCACCUGCGUCCCUUGAUUAUCAUGGAUACUGUACAGCUAAUUUACAACAUGAAUGAAAAUAUGUACAACAUUGUACAUAUUGUGCACACAUUGUAUACGUUGAGAUCCGUGGGUAUACAGUAUACAAAUGUAAUAAAUAAUAAUGGCUCUUUGUUGUUAUUGCUGAUCUUACGUUCUCAAAAUGUUCUCAAAUGAAGGAUCCAGUCUGUGCAUCAGCACCCAGUUAUGUACAAAAUAAGGAAUUGCAAGGAGACCAUCUUCCUUACAGCAAUAGACCAGUCCACCCGGCCAGAGAAGAAUGGCAGAUCAAGUUGAUGGAUUAUGUUGAAAUGGCUAAAAUGACUGGAAGAAUCAGAAACCAGGAAGACUAAAAUUUUAAUAAGGAACGGGGGAAAUUUAUAAUUUAUCUUUAAAACCAUUGUAAACAGUUAAAAUUGUUAGCAGGAUUGGAAUAACACUUGUAGUCUAAUAGUGAAUUUUGGAUAUAAUGGAGAUGUAAAAGAUCUGGAUUAUUAUAAAAGAUGCAGGAGGAAAUGACUAACAAUAGAUCCCGCAAAGGGGAGGAGGGAAGUCCAGGAGAUUAUUUGGAAUCUUAUUUUUAUGAUGGAUAUUGGUUUUGUGAUUGUAAAACUUUAAUCUGAAAGACCAAAUAAAUAAAUUUAUAUAUAUAUUCAAAAAUGAACUUAAAAACAAAAACCAGUAAUGCAAGUAACAGUUGCAAUGUAGUACUUUGUUCCUUCGUUGUCACAGAAACUUAGAAGUGUGGGAUGAUCAUAAAGUGCAGCAAUUAUUAACAGAGGCCACUGUUUCUGAAGAAAAUACUGUUUGAAAUGUGGUCUUUUCUGUGCAUGGAGAGCAACUGGAGGCUUGAUUUGUCUCCUGCAAGAGCUUGGAGCAUCCUAGAACUCUUCUAUGCACUUCCUUCGCAGGCUAUUAAGUCCUGUAGGUGACACUGUUUUCUGGCCUCAAUAGGAAGACCAGUGGGUCGGAAGCUGGGCAACAGCACCGGCUCUACCAUCAUCCAGAGUGAGGCAGCCACUUCAGAUAGUGGAUUUUGACAGGGAUGGCAGCCCAGUGUCAGAGGACAGAUCAACGUGCCCCGCUUGCCACACCACUCCACAGCUAGCCUGCUGUCUUCGGUUGGGGUGGCGGACACUGGUGGAAUCUACACACAUAUUAAAAAACGCUUCGAAAAUACUUUUUUAAAAAAAAGUUUUGAAAAAUGCAUGGAAUUUUGCAUAGCUCGCCACCGCCAUCUAGUGUCACAUUUGUAUAUUGCACUUUACAACGCAUUUAAAGCAUUUUUUUUGCAGCUGUGUAGAUGAGCCCACUGCCCCAUCUCCAGCAUUGAAAUAAGAUCCAAUUCUUGAUCCGGUCAGCUUACAGAAGGAGGGUGGGCACCAACUUUUGCCUCAGGCAGCAAAAUAUACUGAGUGGGUGAAUUAUGCUGGAUUGGCCUUCACCUUUCCUGAGAUUCACAGAUGGGGAGAGGGCAGAGGAAGGAGAAAGCCAGCCCUGCAUAUUUCUUCCUCUCUGCCACCAUUGCAUGCACAAACAUGGAGCCACCCACGCUAUCCAUGUAUUCCCGCCCUAAAGACGUAGAAUUAUAGAAUUGUCUAGUAAGAAGGGACCAGAAGAGCCAUCUAGUUCAACCCCCUGUAAUGCAAUAAUCUCUUGUCCGAUGUGGGAUUCGAACCCACGACCCUCAGAUUAAGAGUCUCAUGCUUUAACAACUGAGCCGUCCCAGCAGACAUAUAGAGAUCAGGGGUGUUGUCAUAUGUGGUCUAUGCAUGUAAUGGCUCCAUGCCCUCUACAGAAAACUGCCCAUGACACAUCAACCUGGAAAAAACAAAUUAACUUAGUAUGUAUCAAAAAAAGGAAUUGUGCCUCAGAGGCAGGGCUAGAAAAUUAAAUGUGGAAUUUAAAAUAAUAGGUUCCCACUAAGCAGGUUUAAAAAACAAAACAAAACCCAAAAUGAUCUUAAACUUCUUUGUUUGGGAUCAAACCACCAAAUGCGUAGUAGUUUAAAGGCCACAUAUAUGGUGUGUUUUUUCUAAACACACCUUCCUUUGUGGGAAAAAGUGAUUAUAAGUCUCAGUUUCUUUCCCCACAGACCACAUGAUCCGAGCUACUUGCGAAAUGUUGGAAAACGAGUUUCAGAUGGACUAAGUGCCAACUACCGACUGUUUCCUCCUUCUCCUCUGUGUACUAGCUACAAGGACAAAACAGCGUAACAAGGAAGUUUGUGUUCCUUGGGAGGUGGAUUUGACCGAAAGGAGAGAGAGUUAAAAGCAGCGUCUCCUGUUAAAUAAAAUCCGCUUUAGAAAACCUCCCAUUCCUUUUGCAAAUCCCAACCACAAAGGCAAUGGCAUUGAGCACAAAAAAGGAUCCUCAGAGAUGUAAACAGAGAAGCUGGGUCGAGAGCACGUUGGGUUAAAACUCCCACCAAUCUUUUCAAAAUAAAUUAACUGUUCAGUGUGGCUUAGAUGCUGGUCAUUGAUCUUCCCACAUUCGUGUGUAAUCCUUUUAACCGAUGCUCCCACCAGUCCCAGCCAGCAUGCCCAAUGGCAAAGUAGGAUGGGAUUUGGAGUCUGAUGACAGCUGAGAACACCAUGUUGGAUGUUGCAAAUGUAUAGACCUUGCGCCCCAUCAGAAUCUCCUCUGUCCCCUGUGCCAGGAGACAAGGAGGGACUUGAAGCAACAGGAGCUGCGGGAGUUGCAGCACAGUAGUCUCUGGUGGCUUACGGGGCCUUGUGUUGGACAAGGGGGCUCAAGUGAGCUGAAAGGGGCAUGGCGUGCUGUUGUGCCAACGAGUCCGGGUCUUUGCACAAGUCUGAAGAGGUAGACACCUAACUAGCUCCUUAGCAAGAGUAAAAAGAUAAAGGUAAAAGACCCCUCCCCUUCAUGGAUCACUGCCCCUUCAUGGAUCACUGCCUUGCCGUGGCGAAGGGGCUUGAAGAACUCAGAGAAGCUAUGAACUAUGCCGAGCAGGGCACCCAAGAUGAACAGGUCAUAGUGGAGAGUUUUGACCAAACGUGAUCCACCUGGAGCAGGAACCGGCAAGCCACUCCAGUAUCCCUGCCAAGAAAACUCCAUGGACAAAGACAACAGGCAUAUAAAAGUUAUGACACUGGAAGAUGAGCCCCUCAGGUCGGAAGGCGUCCAACAUGCUACUGGGGAAGAGCGGAGGACAAGUACAAGUAGAUCCAGAGCUGAUGAAGUGGCUGGGCCAAAGCCGAAAGGACGCUCAGUUGCGGAUAUGCCUGGAAGCGAAAGGAAAGUCCAAUGCUGUAAAGAAACAUAUUGCAUAGGAACCUGGAAUGUAAGAACCAUGAACCUGGGUAAGUUAGAUGUGGUCAAAAGUGAGAUGGCAAGAAUAAAUAUUGACAUCCUGGGCAUCAGUGAACUAAAAUGGACGGGAAUGGGCGAAUUCAGUUCAGAUGACCAUCAUAUCUACUACUGUAGGCAAGAAACCCGCAAAAGAAAUGGAGUGGCCAUCAUAGUCAACAAAAGAGUGGCAAAAGCUGUACUGGGAUGCAAUCUCAAAAAUGAUAGAAUGAUCUCGAUACGAAUCCAAGGCAGACCUUUUAACAUAACAGUAAUCCAAGUUUAUGCACCAACUACUGGUGCUGAAGAAACUGAAAUUGACCAAUUCUAUGAAGACUUACAACACCUUAUUGAAGUGACACCAAAGAAGGAUGUUCUUCUCAUUAUAGGGGAUUGGAAUGCUAAAGUAGGGAAUCAAGAGAUAAAAGGAACAACUAGCAAGUUUGGCCUUGGAGAGCAAAACGAAGCAGGGCAAAGGCUAAUAGAGUUCUGUCAAGAGAACAAGCUGGUCAUCACAAACACGCUUUUCCAACAACACAAGAGACGACUCUACACGUGGACAUCACCAGAUGGGCAGCAUCGAAAUCAGAUUGAUUAUAUUCUCUGCAGCCAAAGAUGGAGAAGCUCUAUACAGUCAGCAAAAACAAGACCUGGAGCUGACUGUGGCUCAGAUCAUCAGCUUCUUAUAGCAAAAUUCAAGCUUAAACUGAAGAAAGUAGGAAAAACCACUGGGCCGGUAAGAUACAAUCUAAAUCAAAUCCCUUAUGAAUACACAGUGGAAGUGAGGAACAGGUUUAAGGAUUUAGAUUUGGUGGACAGAGUGCCUGAAGAACUAUGGAUGGAGGCUCGCAACAUUAUACAGGAGGCAGCAACGAAAACCAUCCCAAUGAAAAGGAAAUGCAAGAAAGCAAAGUGGCUGUCCAAUGAGGCCUUACAAAUAGCGGGGGAAAGAAGGCAAGCAAAAUGCGAGGGAG
This 20591-nucleotide long non-coding RNA is filed under the name Podarcis lilfordi (Lilford's wall lizard). The record is from RNAcentral. Lineage: Eukaryota; Metazoa; Chordata; Lepidosauria; Squamata; Lacertidae.